AGUGGCGCACGGGUGAGUAACGCGUGGGAACAUACCUUAGAGUUCGGAAUAACAGCGGGAAACUGCUGCUAAUACCGAAUAUUCUCUCCGGAGGAAAGAUUUAUCGCUCUAAGAUUGGCCCACGUCAGAUUAGCUAGUUGGUGAGGUAAUGGCUCACCAAGGCUCCGAUCUGUAGCUGGUCUGAGAGGACGACCAGCCACACUGGAACUGAGACACGGUCCAGACUCCUACGGGAGGCAGCAGUGGGGAAUAUUGGACAAUGGGCGAAAGCCUGAUCCAGCCAUGCCGCGUGAGUGAUGAAGGCCUUAGGGUUGUAAAGCUCUUUUGUCAGGGAAGAUAAUGACGGUACCUGAAGAAUAAGCACCGGCUAACUUCGUGCCAGCAGCCGCGGUAAUACGAAGGGUGCUAGCGUUGUUCGGAAUUACUGGGCGUAAAGCGCGCGUAGGCGGUGAUACAAGUCAGAGGUGAAAUCCCAGGGCUCAACCCUGGAACUGCCUUUGAAACUGUAUUGCUGGAGUGUGUGAGGGGAUAGCGGAAUUGCUAAUGUAGAGGUGAAAUUCGUAGAUAUUAGCAGGAACACCGGUGGCGAAGGCGGCUAUCUGGCACACAACUGACGCUGAGGCGCGAAAGCGUGGGGAUCAAACAGGAUUAGAUACCCUGGUAGUCCACGCUGUAAACGAUGAGUGCUAGCCGUUGGGCCCGUAGGGUUCAGUGGCGCCGCUAACGCAUUAAGCACUCCGCCUGGGGAGUACGGUCGCAAGAUUAAAACUCAAAGGAAUUGACGGGGACCCGCACAAGCGGUGGAGCAUGUGGUUUAAUUCGAGGCAACGCGAAGAACCUUACCAGG
Molecule: ribosomal RNA, 847 nt
Filed under: uncultured bacterium
Lineage: Bacteria
Description: bacterial SSU rRNA
Rfam family: Bacterial small subunit ribosomal RNA
Source: RNAcentral